UUUAACGGAGAGUUUGAUCCUGGCUCAGGACGAACGCUGGCGGCGUGCCUAAUACAUGCAAGUCGAGCGGGGUUUGCAUGCGGAAGUCUUCGGAUGGAAGCAAGUAAACCUAGCGGCGGACGGGU
Molecule: ribosomal RNA, 125 nt
Filed under: Bacillota bacterium
Lineage: Bacteria; Bacillati; Bacillota
Description: partial 16S ribosomal RNA
Rfam family: Bacterial small subunit ribosomal RNA
Source: RNAcentral